Molecule: unclassified non-coding RNA, 497 nt
Filed under: Entoloma rhodopolium
Lineage: Eukaryota; Fungi; Basidiomycota; Agaricomycetes; Agaricales; Entolomataceae
Description: ITS2
Source: RNAcentral
AAUUCUCAACCUUUCUGGCUUUUUUUAAACAAAAGGCUGGUAUGGCUUGGAUUGUGGGAGUUGCUGGUUUCUUGCAGAUCAGCUCUUCUUAAAUGCAUUAGCGAAAUCCUUGCUGAACAUCUUUGGUAUGAUAAUUAUCUAUACCAAUUGAUAUAAUACAGCUUUCCACUUUGGCGGAUCAGGCUCCGCUUGGGAUUAAAUUUUCCAAGUGUUCGAUUCAACCGCUCUGAAGCACUAGCUUAGGCACAGAUGAGUUAGCUCGUCUGAUGGUGUUGAAUACUUCAGGUUGACGAAGCGAGGUGCUCUUUGGAGCGCUCACGAGAGCAAGCACUGUAAUCACAUCUUCUAUGUUGUGUUGUGCACUGUCAUAUUCCUGUUACCUACCCUAGCUACUAUGUGGCUUUUAUGGGUCUGGUCAAACCAUGACCUGAACAUAUCCUUAGUGGAAAGGAUCUUUGCUUCCAGUAUUUGUUCUUAGGAACAAACCUUUUGAUAAU